GUUGUCCUCAAAACGCAUGUCAUAAGGAAUGUUUGUCGUAAAGACAUCUAAUGUCUUAAAUUCCGAAGGAAUAAAAUGUACGCGAAACAUUCUUUUGCAUUACCAUCACCGUGGUAAUACAUAUAGAUGCAAAAUUUAAUAAUUCACAUAUUUGUGUAAUAGGAAAAGAUGAGGUCUUCCCAGGACAACUUUACCGAUGUACACCGCUACGGGCGUGUUGAAGGCCGUCGACAUUCGUCUUGAGGACUGUUGUGGCUUGAGUGUGGCCAUGCCCGAGGGAGAAACUACAUCGUAGAGAGAUUCGUCUCGUCGGCUGCCGCUCACUAUGAUGUCCAAGAUUCUGUUAUUGUGGAAGAACGCUUAUGCACUUCAUGUUUUCUUGUAAUGCAAAAGGAAUUUGCUCUAGAUUCCUAGGCAGCGAUUGAUUAUCCUUCUCACAACGCUCACAAGCAAUUUCACAUGCAAAAAAAAUCAGUUAUUAGAUCCAUGACUGAUCACAAGAAGACAAAACCAAAUAAAUGUUCUGCUGAUAGAGUUUUCUUCUGAGCGUAUGCAUCCAUGCCGAUGCUUGCUUGUCUUCGCUGUUGAUGUUUUAAAGUGUCGCCGUAAUUAGUACCAGAACCCAUGCGUUGACGAAUCAACCGAUUAGAAUCGAGCAGCCCGUCAUUACGCGCAUGCCGAAUGGUGUUGUUGUCGUGCCAGGUGUAUAGCCGUCGUUGUUGCCGAUGCCGAUCAAAAGGGUACGCGCAUUACGCGCCGAGGCUGGGACAGACGAGGCCAUGCUGAUGCUUCGCACACGCCGCAUGCAGGGAUGCGCCGCGCCGCGCCGCUCCGCUGAAGCGAUGCCGAGAACCGCGGUCGUGGCCUAAAUCUUGCCUCAUAGAGCGCCUCUAUAUUCGUCCAUGCACAUGAAAAAUGCAAUCAAUCACUAGGUUAUAUUAUUAGUCCCUCGUUGCAUCACGGACUCACGGUAAGAACGGAAAAAGAAAUUAAAUUAGUCUUCCUGGUAUAUUUUCCCUUUACAAAAGAAUGCAUCGCUUCUCAAGCAAACACAUGCUCGGUGACCCGUCCAUAACCAUCUCUUAUCUUCUCAUUCAUUUGCACAUCUUCUCCCGACUCUGAACAUGCGUAAAGGCCGCCGCGUCGUUCGGCAUUGCUUACACAAGAGCCAGUUUUCAUGGAUGGCCUUUCUCUCUCAACAAAGAGCCAAGUGCUGAUAACGUGUUUGAAAUAGAAAGUAAAGAACGAAAGAUGAAUGAAAGUGAAUAGACG
This 1272-nucleotide long non-coding RNA is filed under the name Hordeum vulgare. RNAcentral's name for it is "long non-coding RNA (HVUL_LNC003251)". The record is from RNAcentral. Lineage: Eukaryota; Viridiplantae; Streptophyta; Magnoliopsida; Poales; Poaceae.